GAAGCGCAGCUGUUUUCCUGCAGAAGCGCCCCGGAACCACACGACCUGCCGCUUUCUGGAUUUGCAGAAGUUCCUUGGGGCAGAAGUGCCAGAUCAUUCCUUCUCUCGGUCCACAGAUGGUACCACAAGAGGGAAAAGGUCCUGUGAGGCGAAUGCUCUGUCUGGAUUCAGCUUGGGUGGAUCAAGCAACUCAUCGCCUUCCCUUUGGGCUGCAGAAAGCUGCGAGGUAGCCGCGCACAGAUCUCUGGAACAAAGAUUGGUAGCAUCAGCUGUUUUAAUGCAGAGUUCGGCACACAAUCCUUGCUAAAAAUAAAUACAAAGGAAACCCC
Molecule: long non-coding RNA, 329 nt
Filed under: Rattus norvegicus (Norway rat)
Lineage: Eukaryota; Metazoa; Chordata; Mammalia; Rodentia; Muridae
Description: long non-coding RNA NONRATT009054
Source: RNAcentral